This 483-nucleotide non-coding RNA is filed under the name Euroglyphus maynei. RNAcentral's name for it is "Eukaryotic small subunit ribosomal RNA". It matches the Rfam family "Eukaryotic small subunit ribosomal RNA", at positions 693 to 1181 of the family's 1831-position model. The record is from Rfam by way of RNAcentral. Lineage: Eukaryota; Metazoa; Arthropoda; Arachnida; Sarcoptiformes; Pyroglyphidae.
AUUAUCGCUUUGUAUAUAUCUAGUGGUUCUUCUAGUUCGCGGUUUACCGUUGAACAGUGUUACAUUGAGUAAAUUGGAGUGCUCCAAGCAGGCGUUCGCCUGAACAUCUCAGCAUUGAAUAACAAUACAAGACCUUAGUCUUAGUUGUUGGUUCAGAGACUAUGAGUAAUGAUUGAUAAGGACAUUCGGGGACAUUUGUACUUGCUGGAGAGAGGUAAAAUUCUAAGACCCAGUAAAGACAAACAAAUGCGAAAGCACUUGUCCAGUGUGUGCCUGUUAAUCAAGGACGAAAGUUGGGGGAUCGAAGACGAUUAGAUACCGUCGUAGUCCCAACCAUAAACUAUGCCGACUGAGUAUCGGUGAAGAGAUUAUAUAUCUUCCUCGGAACUCUAAGAGAAAUCUAAGUUUUUGGGCCCUGGGGGGAGUAUGGUCGCAAGGCUGAAACUUAAAGGAAUUGACGGAAGGGCACCACCAGGAGUGGAG